AUUAAAGGGAAUGGGUGUCGGAAGCCGAGGGUCUGAAGUUCUCGACUCAUAGAAGGGGAGGGGAAUGAAAGGCUCUCAGUAAAGAAGGUACCAAGAUUAUUUCUGAAUAGCCAGUCUGUCUCAGUUUGUAUUUUGAGGGAAUAAAAAGGAAAAAGGAAUCUUUGGGCACCUUCUGGAGCUUUCAGGUUGUUCCCAAGUUCUGAUGGUCAUAAUUAGCAUUGCUAUAAACAUCUCUAAUCAGGAAUUGAUUUAG
This is a long non-coding RNA of Enhydra lutris kenyoni (northern sea otter), 253 nucleotides long. RefSeq lists it as uncharacterized. Lineage: Eukaryota; Metazoa; Chordata; Mammalia; Carnivora; Mustelidae. The transcript has 4 exons. The record is from RefSeq and is a predicted model, not a curated record.